Molecule: long non-coding RNA, 1240 nt
Filed under: Carassius auratus (goldfish)
Lineage: Eukaryota; Metazoa; Chordata; Actinopteri; Cypriniformes; Cyprinidae
Description: lncRNA (ENSCARG00000061280.1)
Source: RNAcentral
GAAGUUACUUCUGUACCUGUUAUAAUGAUAUUAAAUCAGCAUCGGAUCAAAUAUUUGGAUUGUUAUAUUAAUUUUUGUUUUCUUCACAGUGUUGCUGAGAUUCAUUGGUAAAUCAAGUGAACGGAUCAUUACUAUGUUCAAGGUUCUGGCUGGAAUCAGUUUUAAUGUUCUGCCUUCACUUCAGUUCAUCCUCAUCUUCUACUCCUUUGGAUCAAUUAGAGGAGGAUUCAUCAUUGUUGCAGUUUUACCAGUGUUUACCACAGUGACGAGAUUCAAGUGGAACGCAGUAUGUGGUCAACAGAUGGGCUGUAAGUGUUUGAUGAAUUCUGAUCUGAUCCCUGAUAUAAACACUAAUAAUUUAUGACAUCAUAAUCUGAUCAAUAUAUAAUUCAUUAAUGCUCUCUGUUAGUCAUUAUGUAUUUCUCAUCUUCACAGAUGUUGAGUAAAGGGUUAAAUGAGAGUAGAAAUACUUCCAGUGAUUUCAGACGUAAUAAUCUGUGUUCAGUUGUUUUGAGCAUUUGUGAGAUGUUUUAAAUAUUAUCCAGUCGGUGUCGAAACACAGAUGUGCAGUUUUUUACAAUAUUAUACACAGAGCUGGGCAGAUUACUCACAAACUGUAAUCUGUUAUUGAUUCCAGAUUACACACAAAAAUUGUAGUUUGUAAAGUAAUCCAUUUCAGGUAAUAUAAUCAGAUUACUUUCUGAUUAGUUUUAGAUAUCUUUUGAUCUUACUCACUUAUCACAUUGUUUUAAACAUGAUAAUUUUGUACCAUAUUGAUAUUAAAAACCCAUUUGUUGAAAUUGACAACAUAAAGUGGAUUAAACAUCACAUUACGUCAAUGUUUCCCAAACUGGGGUUUGUGAAGAACUGAAGGACACAUAAUAUGUAAAUACGUAAUCCAUAAAUAGUAACUGUAGUCUGAUUCUGAGUAUUUUACACUUUUAAAGUAAGUACUUGAUUUUUGGAAUCUGAUUUCAUACAGUAAGUCAGAUUAAAUGUAAUCAGUUUCUAUGCUGUUCUGAUGAUAUAAUAUUAUAAUAUCACCGCAAAAACACUAGAUUACAGAUAUUUUACAAUAGUUUAAUAUUGUUAAUAUGUAUGUAACGUCACUUCAUGUAGUAAUAUUAAAGAUGUUUUUCAGGUUCACCUGCGCUCACGAGACCAGUGUGGUUAACUCUCAUGAUGCCGGUCAAUGCUGUAUUGUUCUAUUUCUACAUCAUAGCUCUGGAAAAUGAAGAGG